This is a long non-coding RNA of Mesocricetus auratus (golden hamster), 634 nucleotides long. RefSeq lists it as uncharacterized. The transcript is spliced from 3 exons. Lineage: Eukaryota; Metazoa; Chordata; Mammalia; Rodentia; Cricetidae. The record is from RefSeq and is a predicted model, not a curated record.
CUACCGUCUCAGGCACGAAGCUUCACAGCUCAGUACCGACCCUGACAACUUGACACUCUGCUGAUGACAGCUUUCCUCCCAAGCUGCAGGCACAGCGAGUCUGGCUCCCAGCCACAGGCAGCACUAAGGGAGAUCACAAGGCCCCGUUCAGAGCUCAAACAGGCAUAAAGAAGCUUGGGGAGAGCAGACGAGGAGAAACACGUGCCAAUGCAAACGAGACCGAGGCGUGGUGGUGCAUCUAGAAUCUUGGCACUUGGGAGGCUGAGACAAGUGGUCCUGACCUGGAGGCCAGCAUGGGCUGCAAGCGUGAGUGGGGCUCACUCUCGGAAACCAGGCACGGGUGUUUUGCCUUCGUGGGUCUGUGCGCCACGUGUGUGCCUGGUUCCCAUGGAGGUCAGAAAAAGACGUCAGAUCCUCUGGAACUAAAGUCAUGGACCGUUAUGAGCUGCCAUGCCCACAGCCCUAGCAAGUUCUUUACGGCAAAGCCUGGGCUCCAGCAGCCCCCAAAAGCUAGGUUCAGCUUGGCACAGUGGUGCACGCCUUUAAGCCCAGCACUCGGGAGGCAGAUGCAGGCGGAUCUCUGUCAAGACGCAGCCUGGUCAACACAGUGAGUUCAGGACAGCCAGAGCUACAU